GACGAACGCUGGCGGCGUGCUUAACACAUGCAAGUCGAACGGAAAGGCCCUGCUUUUGUGGGGUGCUCGUUUGGCGAACGGGUGAGUAACACGUGAGUAACCUGCCCUUGACUUUGGGAUAACUUCAGGAAACUGGGGCUCAUACCGGGUAGGAGCUCCUGCUGCAUGGUGGGGGUUGGAAAGUUUCGGCGGUUGUGGAUGGACUCGCGGCUUAUCAGCUUGUUUGUGGGGUAGUGGCUUACCAAGGCUUUGACGGGUAGCCGGCCUGAGAGGGGGACCGGCCACAAGGCGACUGAGAGAGGCCCCAGAAUGCAACGGGAGGCAGUAGUGGAGAAUAUUGCACAGUGAGCGGAAGCCUGAUGCAGCAACGCCGCGUUCGGGAUGACGGCCUUCGGGUUGUAAACCGCUUUCGCCUGUGACGAAGCGUGAGUGACGGUAACGGGUAAAGAAGCACCGGCUAACUACGUG
This 468-nucleotide ribosomal RNA is filed under the name uncultured bacterium. Its description in RNAcentral is "partial 16S ribosomal RNA". It matches the Rfam family "Bacterial small subunit ribosomal RNA", at positions 28 to 507 of the family's 1533-position model. The record is from RNAcentral.